AUGAGCCAACACAUUACAUUGCCGACCAACGUGCACAAACAAACUAAGGAGAAGCCUAGAAUUGCCAUCUUGAUAUCAUCAAUGACGGAACCAACAACAGAACGAUCGUGGGCUUUGGAUUUCAGCCUUUGCACCAAAGGAUUUGUAAGCAUCUGGUCUCCAUAUGACGGGCUCAAUUGGGCCGACCAAGCAAGUCCACGACUCUUUCUUCUCACAAUCGAGCCCAAAGAAAAAACAACCAGUGACGACACAAGUCCAACGCCGCCGCCGCUCCUUUGCUCCAUUCCCCUCGCCAAACCCUCGCUCCACCAGACGACCUGUGCGGCCUGCCGGCGACCACGCUCGACGAGCCGAGCCGCAAUGGCCCCCGGAGGAGGCGAGCAAGUAUUCGGGGAGCAGGACAACCCACCGGCGACGGGCCACGGGUGCCGCGACGAGGAGGCCCCAUCCCGUUCGCGGAUGCCGUCGCCGCCGCCGCCGUUGCUUCCUGGCCUGGACGUCACUCCCGUCGCCUCUCAGAACAAGAAGAUGAGGCUGGAUGAUGGGCAGCAGGGGGAGGAGACGACCCCGGCGCUCUUCCCGGAGGACGUUCUCGUCGAGAUCCUGUCGCGGGUGCCCUACGUCUCGCUCUUCCACUUCAAGUGCGUGUCCAAACAAUGGCUCGCCCUCUGCUCCGCCCCAGACGUCCGCAAGAGGUCGCCGCAGACCUUGUCUGGUUUCUUCUACUUCAAUCUCGGCUGGUGUUUCCAGAAUUUGUCCGGGAAAAGCCCUCCGAUCGUCGACGCCAAUCUCCGUUUCUUGCGUGGCAGCUAUAAGUAUUUCAGUAUCCAACAAUGGAGCACCAGCCUGCUCCUUUGCAGAUGCUGGAAAUCCCGCCGUCCUAGGCAGUACGAAUUGCCUGACGGCCUUUCGCAUUUCAGCCUAGGCAAAUACUUUCUGGGUUUUGACCCGGCGACUCCUUCCGGCUUUGUGGCGUUUGUGCCCCUGGACACAUAUUAUGAACAUGGCCUGUCCGCGGCCAUGAUCUACUCAUCGGAAACUGGAGGGUGGACUUCCAUGCAGAGUCAGUGCAAUGGUGGCUGUACAUAUCGGGUCGGUGAUUUAGAAAGCACCUUCCUAAAUGGCAUUAUGCAUUUCCCUACUCGAUCUUCGUCAAUAGUCACAGUGGACAUGAAAAGGAAUGCUUGGGGGAAAAUUAAAAUGCCACCUGGCAUGCCAAACAACUAUGGCGGUGCUUCCAUUGGGCAGUCACAGGGACGUCUGCAUGUUUGGGAAGAGGAUCAAGAUGGUUGCCAACUCUCUAUUUGGGUUCUUGAGAAUUAUGACAGUGGACAGUGGGGACCCUAA
Molecule: ribosomal RNA, 1347 nt
Filed under: Triticum aestivum (bread wheat)
Lineage: Eukaryota; Viridiplantae; Streptophyta; Magnoliopsida; Poales; Poaceae
Description: partial small subunit ribosomal RNA
Source: RNAcentral